AAGACUUUGAUUCCCAUAAUAUAUGCAUGCGCAGCCAUUGUGGCAACAAUGCCAUCCAUCACAAAUUAUUUGAGAAGAGGAAUGGGGUGGCAUUUUCCAAAAGUGGUAGGCUUCGAACUAUUCACCUCUCUGGUGAUGGCUUUUAUUGGUUGGCAACUCUUUUCUGCAUGUCAAAGACCCUCAUCCUAAGAAAGUCCAGUACCAUCUCUAAGACCAGAGAGUUGGUUGGGGAUAGGCUCUUGGAACAUAUUGAAAAAAUCUAGCCAUUGGCUAUCAAUUCCGCCCCGACAAGGCUGUUGGACUGUUUUUUCAAAAUUUUGUAGCAUCUUUUAUUUUGCUAUAAAAAUUACUGAUUUGUAAUUUCACUUUCUGUGAUGUUCAGAGGAUUGAAUAGAUAGAUUUUCCUUUACCACAUGAUUCAAGUUUUUCUUGAAUGGACGACAUAUGGAUAGGGUACUGAAGUGCUGUAAAGGAUAGCUAAGAGUGAUACGGCUCUUCGAGUACUUGAACGACUGCUAGGAUGUCCUACUACUAUUUAUCUGCAAGNNNNNNNNNNNNGGAGUCAGUUAAUUUGUGUUGUGUCACCUGCUAAAAGGGUUCGGUUAAUUUGCAUUGUGUCACCUUUCACAAGGGUCGAUUAAUUUGUAUUGUAUCAAGAGAUAUCAAAGCAUAUGCAAGACAUUUUUUUUUAAAAAGCAUUGCUACUUCAUAGCUAAG
RNAcentral lists this unclassified non-coding RNA (717 nucleotides) under Hevea brasiliensis (rubber tree). Lineage: Eukaryota; Viridiplantae; Streptophyta; Magnoliopsida; Malpighiales; Euphorbiaceae. The record is from RNAcentral.